GGGAGAAAAUCAUGUUUGUAUUUAUUACACAGAUGUAAUAUCCUUGAAACCUGUUACACUUAGUUCAAACCAACCUGGUUUGAGAGAAUUUUCUCUGGAUAGAGACUUGAUCAAGACAAAUGCUUCAGACACUUACUCUUUCAAGUAAAAGGGGCAUGUCAAGAGACAGCAAAAUGAGACAACUGGAAAUAGAAAAUAACAUUAAUGCCGUUCUUCAUGCUCCAACCCCACAAUAUGCUCAUGUACUACCUUGAACAAGUACACUUCAGCACAUGGCGUAUCCAACCUCUUAACAGGUGAAUGAAACACUCUGUGCCCGUGGCAUGCCCAUGCUUGCCUGGCAUCCCCCCAAUCUUUGACCCUCUCUCUCUUCCCUCUCACUCUCUAUUAACACCAACUCAUACUCUCUCUCUCUUGUGAUGUUGAGAAACCAGGCUAGUCUGAGAGACCAGGUUAGUCCGAGAGACUAGGUUAGUCUGAGAGACCAGGUUAGUCUGAAAGACCAGGCUAGUCUGAGAGACCAGGUUAGUCUGAGAGACCAGGUUAGUCUGAAUGAUGAGGCUAGUCUGAGAGACGAGUCUGAGAAACCAGGUUAGUCUGAGAGACCAGGUUAGUCUGAAUGAUGAGGCUAGUCUGAGAGACGAGUCUGAGAGACCAGGUUAGUCUUAGAGACCAGGCUUGUCUGAGAGACCAGGUUAGUCUGAGAGACCAGGCUAAUCUGAAAGACCAGGUUAGUCUGAGAGACCAGGUUAGUCUGAAAGACCAGGUUAGUCUGGGAGACCAGGCGAAUCUGAAAGACCAGGUUAGUCUGAGAGAACAGGUUAGUCUGAAAGACCAGGUUAGUCUGGGAGACCAGGUUAGUCUGGGAGACCAGGCUAGUCUGGGCCUGACUAUUAUUGAGAUAUAUUGUCUUCCCAACUAUGAACAAGCUGUUCUUGACCCUUAUUGACCAAUGGGAUUGCAUCUUUGACUUUCAUAUGCAGUAUGGCAAACGAAUGAGAUAAAACAUCUAAAUUGCCAUUUAUUGCAUUGAGGCAUGAUUGCAUUUUGAACAAUUUAUGAAUUACACCAGAAAUACAUUGAAGACAUUGUAUCAAGUUUGAGCUGAACUUCACGAUUGACUCAUGAAGUACAAGCAUUUCAUUGGUUCAUCAGUUUUCCCAAACAAGAUACCUUUUAAAAUAAAUCAUACUUUUAAAAACAUACAAAAUUAUAGUAACUUGAAGUAAUCAAUCAGAAAUCAAUAUCACUAAAAGGAAGCCGAUCACCCCAGAGAGAGAAUUUAGAUUUCCUCAGUAUAUCAAUGGGUAGCCUAAACCUGAACAUACUCAUCGACAGAGUUCAAUCAAAUGCAAGAUUGGCAGAAUAAAUCAUGGAAAAGUUGAACAAAAGCAUCUGUGCCUGCCAAGGCUGUGGUAUUGUUGUCAAACAAUGGAGUGGUCAAUCUGUGUCAUUGCAUGUUUUAUGGAACGAGGGCAAAUAGCAUUCUGACAGUAGAGCAUUAGAAAUUGAAAUGUUUUCUAUCCUCAAACAUACCCGUUGUCUCUCAUGCUUGGAUAUUCUGAUUGAGGCAUUUCAGUUCAUUUAUGUCCCUCUCUCCACUUUCCCAUAGCCUAGGACUCAAAAGACUAGUGCCCAGACAGACUCUUAUCAUAGACUCUAAUGGAUAUAUAUUAAAUUGACUACUUGAAAAGCAUAUUGAAAUCUGAUCUCUAGGUCCGACUACGACCCAACACCAUAAGUGCAUCUCCACUUCAUUGACUCCUCUAGUCCUCCAGUCUGUGAUCAAACCAGAAA
Long non-coding RNA from Oncorhynchus keta (chum salmon), 1797 nucleotides. RefSeq lists it as uncharacterized. The record is from RefSeq and is a predicted model, not a curated record. The transcript is spliced from 2 exons. Lineage: Eukaryota; Metazoa; Chordata; Actinopteri; Salmoniformes; Salmonidae.